AAUAUUGGACAAUGGGGGCAACCCUGAUCCAGCAAUGCCGCGUGUGUGAAAGAAGGCCUUAGGGUUGUAAAAGCACUUUUCAAAUGGUGAAAGAUGAUGACGGUAACCCAUAGAAAGAAAGCCCCGGGCUAACUUUCGUGCCCAGCAGCCCGCGGUAAAUACGAAGGGGGGCGAGCGUUGUUUCGGAAAUUACUGGGGCGUAAAGGGGCGCGCAGGGCGGCCCACCCCAGUCAGGGUGUGAAAAGCCCCCGGGCUUAACCUGGGAACUGCACUUGAUACUGGUGGGCUAGAAAACGGGAAGAGGGAGAGUGGAAUUCCCCAGUGUAGAGGGUGAAAUUCGUAGAUAUUGGGAAGAACACCCAGUGGCGAAGGCGGCUCUCUGGUCCGAUUUUGACGCUGAGGCGCGAAAGCGUGGGGAGCGAACAGGAUUAGAUACCCUGGUAGUCACGCCGUA
This 454-nucleotide ribosomal RNA is filed under the name uncultured marine bacterium. RNAcentral's name for it is "bacterial SSU rRNA". It matches the Rfam family "Bacterial small subunit ribosomal RNA", at positions 360 to 804 of the family's 1533-position model. The record is from RNAcentral.